Molecule: long non-coding RNA, 550 nt
Filed under: Capra hircus (goat)
Lineage: Eukaryota; Metazoa; Chordata; Mammalia; Artiodactyla; Bovidae
Description: lncRNA (ENSCHIG00010030323.1)
Source: RNAcentral
GCUUUUCUCCAGGUGUCACCGCCUCUGCUGCUGAGAGUGGAAGAGAGGAAAGGACCUCCAGACAGCAAGUGUCCUCCCCACCAUGGGGCAGACCUGCCAGCGAGGAUGGGGUACAGAAACUGAAAAUUCAAUCCGGCCCCCGCUUACUGAAAGUAAGGUAAGAGACCUCAAUGUUAUUUCCAUUUCCUUCUGUAAUGUUUUCUGUAGAAGAAACUUAGCAUAUGGCAAUUCCCUUUGGAAACUCUGAACAUGGUUUUACUGAGAAGCCCUGCAGUGGAUUCUGGGGUGAGGGCCCAGACCACCCCCCAGGGCAGAGGCUUUAGGAGAAGACUUUGUUCCUAGGCUCCCUUCUUAACCUUUUUUGAAUAUUAUUGUUUUAUUGGAGUAUAGCUGCUUUACACUGUUGUGUUAAUCAGCCAUGCAUAUAAAUAUAUCCACUCUUUUUUUGGAUUUCCUUCCCAUUUAGGUCACCACAAAGCACUGAAUUAGGGCUCCCUGAACUAUACAGUAGGUUCUCAUUUGUUAUCUAUUUUAUACAUAGUAUCAAUAG